AUUUCACAUAAUCACCUCCAUGAGCAGGAUAAUGAUAUUUAAUUUUAUUUGUAAGUUAUCCUUAUAUUUCACACUUGAAACUUUGUACAUCACUUUGUCUCCAUCUUAUUUUUACCUGGCCCAUCCUACAUCCUGUUUGUAAUUUCAAAUUAUAAGACUUAGAAUGACAGAACUCUAUGUUAUUUAUUUCCUUGGUGACUCUAUUCAUUUUUAAAAAAUGUUUUCUUCUUCGUGGUCUUUGUUUUUUAAAUAUAUGUUAUAAACCCCACCUUAUAGUGUUGUUAUACUUUGCUUUAAAUAUCUGAUAUUUAGGAGGAUUCUCAUGUCAUUCACCAAUUUAUUUACCAUUUUUGAUGUUAUUUAUUUCUUCCUAUAGUCAUUUGAUAAAGUUUUUCUUGGGUUUUUAGGAGCAUCCUCUAGGUUUUUUUUUUUUUUUUCUGUUUGUUUUUAAGUACUACUGAUCAAUAGGCACACAUUCUGCUUUUAAUUGUUUAAAAGAUUAAAUGACUCAUAUGAAUUGUACAUAUUUAUGGGGCACAUUGUUAAAUUUAUACAGUGUGUCAUGAUUAGGUCAGAAUAGUUUGUACUCCUUUCACUCAAACAUUUUAUCAGGUGUUUUGUUUUGUUUCGUUUUGUUUGGGAAUAUUCAAAGUCUUCUCUGUUAGAGCUGUUUGAAAUGUACAAUUCAAUAUUAUUAGUCAGAGUUACCUUAAUAUGCUAUAGAAUAUCAGAGGUUAUUCUUCCUAUUUAGGCUCACUCAUGUUACUAUUCCACUUAACAUCAUUCUUCUUACCCUCUUCAGUCUCUGGCAAAUGAUACUCUCUCUUCUGCUUUUAUGAGAUCAACUUUUUAAGCUUUCACAUGUGAAAAUACAUACUGUUUAUAUUUAUUUUCUGUCCUAUACUUGUACAUGUUGGGGGUCAAAGGAUAAUUUGAAGGAGUCUGUUCUCUCUUAUCAUGUGGGUCCUGGCAUUGAACUCAGGUGGCCAGGCUUGGCUACAAAUACCUUUCUCUUCUGACCCAUCUUGGCUGUCCUCAAAUUUUAUUUUAUUUUAUUUUAUUUUAUUUUAUUUUAUUUUAUUUUAUUUUAUUUUUGGUAUGUGGUAUGAGAUAGGAGUUAACUUUCAUUCUUCUGAGUAUGAUGUUCCGGGUUCCUCAGUAUUAAUUAUUGGUCCUUUUCCUCUGUUUGUUGUUGGUGUCUUCAGUUGUUCGUAGGUUGUCUCUAAGUAUGUGGAUUAUUUCUGCUGUGUUCUGUCUACUGGUCUGCAUUUUAGUUUUGUGCUAGAGCUAUUUUGUCAGCUUUGGGUUUGCUGAAAAUGUUUGUAUUUAUUUUUAUGUUUUAAUGUUUUUAUUCCAGCUUUUAAAGGCUGUUAUUGCUACAUGUAAAAUUCUAAAGUGAGCCUUGCCAUAGCACUUUAAAGAUACUGUUCUAUUUAGGCUUGAUUCUUUUGUACUUGAGGUAUCUUUUCUACCCUAUCACUAUUUUAUACCAUUAUUUGGCUACUACUAAUAUCUUCAUUUUUUUGGAAUCUAUUAGUUUUGACUAGAGAUACUAGAGAAAUUGGUGUCUCCUUGGAGUUCUUAGUCUAAUUAGUAAAAGAAUUAAAGAAUGGAUUCAAAUAGAAGCUUGAGGACAAUUUUAAUACUAGUUUCAAACAAAAUUUCCCAGGGCAGAUAAGUUGAUAAUCUCAGCAGUUUGGGGCAGGAGGGAAGAAGAGAAAUAGCAAUGCUAUUUAAUCUAUCAUGGAAGGUAGAUACAUGGCAGACAUAUGGCUCGCAAAAAGCCUUUAGAGAAAGGGUAAGAAAGCUCAAAGCAUC
RNAcentral lists this long non-coding RNA (1818 nucleotides) under Mus musculus (house mouse). RNAcentral's name for it is "long non-coding RNA chr12:78251884-78253702". Lineage: Eukaryota; Metazoa; Chordata; Mammalia; Rodentia; Muridae. The record is from RNAcentral.